This 274-nucleotide long non-coding RNA is filed under the name Lathyrus oleraceus (garden pea). RNAcentral's name for it is "Pisum sativum (pea) long non-coding RNA (PSAT_LNC002430)". Lineage: Eukaryota; Viridiplantae; Streptophyta; Magnoliopsida; Fabales; Fabaceae. The record is from RNAcentral.
UUAUUUUGAUCUCAUGCCUAAUACCUUAUUUUGAGCAAAUAUCAAGGAGUAUUUCAUCUGGUACAUGAGAAGACAAAGAAGACUGUUAGCUAUGGACUUACUUGCUUGGAUGUGGCCAUCUUUAUUUGAUUCCUUGAUCUUCAUAUUGCUAAUUGCUUGCUGAUUAUAGCUUGAUUCAAAGUCCAAAGGGAAAAUGGGUUUUCUAUAUGACAUUCUUGUUUGUUGGAUUGCAUCCCAUUGGUCAGAUCUUUUCAACUCUUAUCUUUUAUUUUUA